GUUAACGUAGCUUAAAAUUAAAGCAAAGCACUGAAAAUGCUUAGAAGGGUUCUACCCCGUAAACA
Molecule: transfer RNA, 65 nt
Filed under: Mesechinus dauuricus (Daurian hedgehog)
Lineage: Eukaryota; Metazoa; Chordata; Mammalia; Eulipotyphla; Erinaceidae
Also listed under: 1 other name
Description: tRNA-Phe
Rfam family: tRNA
About the family: Transfer RNA (tRNA) molecules are approximately 80 nucleotides in length.
Source: RNAcentral